CGUUAGAGAUGAGCUGGGCCUCCUGCGCAGAAUCAGAGCAAACCGGUCCUGCUUGGUUUCUGACCGACUUCUGCUGCAUUCAAGACGAAGGCAAACUCGGAAAUAUCUCCUCUCCACCAAAGAAUCUACGGCAAUCUACUGGCUCUCAAUGUUCAACACUGUUGUUCACAGAGAAAGGAAGAGGAAUGGAGCAAACAAACAAUGCACUGGUGCAGUACCUCAAAAGAGCAGUGGACCAGUAGGACACUGUUGGUGACAAGCACCUGAAGUGGCACCAAAUGUUCCAUCUCUAACUGACUGGGGUUGGAUGGACCCAAGCUACUGGAGACCACUGUGUCAACUCUUCCACAGACAAGCUGGCCCAUCUAAUCCCUGACCUCUUAGGUUGUGUCUGCAAGAGAGGCUGAUGGGGGGCACUGCUAAAGCAAAACAGCCUGUUUAAAGUGCACAGUUCUGUGUCAAUGUGGAGAAAACAGUGAAGAAGACAGCGGAGAGAAGGUUCAACAUCAACAGCAAAACAAAUGUGUUUUUGAAAUAAAUGUUUUGGAGUAAA
This is a long non-coding RNA of Seriola aureovittata, 553 nucleotides long. RefSeq lists it as uncharacterized. The transcript is spliced from 2 exons. The record is from RefSeq and is a predicted model, not a curated record. Lineage: Eukaryota; Metazoa; Chordata; Actinopteri; Carangiformes; Carangidae.